CCUGCCUCGCUGCCUUCCUUUCCGCAACCCUGCCGAGGCGAGUCAAGGCCCGGAUACGGUGGGACGUGAAGAUCCGUCCAGCCACAGACUCCAGCCCCCACACGCACGGCACAGGUCCAUGUCUGAUCCCUGGGAGCUGAUCAGAGGCAAGUGGCUGCUCUGUCGCAGGGGAGACGGAGAGGCCGAGGCAGGCGAGCUGGAGGGAGACGCGGGAGGAGACCGACGGCCCUGUGCCUUCUGGGAGGAAGCAGGAGGGCAGGGCUGGGCUGGUGUUGAAGCUGAAGACUGGCUCUCUGCACCGGGGCUCCUCCCUACAGGACCCUGUGAGGCAGCCAGCACAGAAAAACGCAUCAAAGAAGAUUGCGCAGCUCUUCAAGAAAAGGGUGAACAACACGUCUGCCAGCUGAAGUGGAUUAUCCUUCCUGUAAUAAUCUUCUGUUGAUGUGGCUGAGGGUGCUAGACUGCUGUCUCUCCCUCAGUCUGACGGCAGUAGAUUCACGGAUUUUAAUCCUAAAAUCCAAGACCCUGGUACCAGUUGGUCCACGAUGUUUAACUUAAUGGGCUAAUUGUGUUUGCUCCGUUACAUUUACAAGAACAUUUUAUAACUGAAAAGGCUUUAUUAACCUUUAAACCUUAUUUAUGCAAUGAGGUCUGUACUGCUGAGAAGUUUGAAGCCUUUACAGCACAAAAUGAAGGAUAUGUGUAUGUCAUGGUAAUCCUGAACAAAUUGUUGUAUCCAUUUAUGAUAACCUCCAGAUAGCAUCUGUUAUGUACGGUAAAUGCAAUUUUAGAGAAUAAGGUAUUUGUGUGCCAUUAACACUGACACUUUUAUCCAAAGCAACUUACAGUUGAUUGGACUACACGAGGGACAAUGGAGCAAUGUGGGGUUAAAGGCCUUGCUCAAGGGCCCAACAGCUGCACUGAUCUUAUUGUGGCUACACCGGGGCUUGAACCACCAACCUUCCGGGUCCCAGUCAGGUACCUCAGCUGCUAGACGUGUCUGUCACAGCGAGACAGACAAACGGAAGGACAGAUGGACGUCAUCGUACAACCUCAUUUGCAGAGUUACAGAGGGAACCACGCCCCCUGCCCUGCUGUCCAAUCGGAGAGCAGAGACCGUCAUCCACACUUCACCUCUGACUGAACUGCUGGGAAUGAGUUUAUCAGACAAGCAUCAACUCUAGCACAAUAAAACCAGCAAGAGAAACCCACAAAACACCAGUCUCUGUCUGAAUAUGACAACAGAGCCAUGAUGAGUAAUGUUUGCUUAUCUGAAGAAAAAAAAGGUUGAUUCAUUUCUACCACGGAACAUAAACUUAUGCAAAAGAAAAAGAAAAACUUGAGAUGCCUCUAAGUCUUCCGUCUGAAUGAAUAUUAAUGUCUUAUUCAAAUCAUUUUGCUGGAAGUUUGAUUAAUAUUCUUGUAAACAGCCUCCAAGCCAAAUAUAAUCAAUUAAUAUUCAUGAAAAGGGCAGCUUAUUGUCAGUCCAAGUUAGUUUUGCACAUGUGUAAGUCACAAAGAAUAAAUGUCCUUUUUUAUUGUUGAAAAAAUCAAUUUGUUGUUGUGCUGCAGUA
RNA transcript from Conger conger (European conger), 1574 nucleotides. RefSeq lists it as uncharacterized. NCBI's taxonomy places the organism in Eukaryota, Metazoa, Chordata, Actinopteri, Anguilliformes, Congridae. The transcript is spliced from 6 exons. The record is from RefSeq and is a predicted model, not a curated record.